GACGAACGCUGGCGGCGUGCUUAACACAUGCAAGUCGAACGGAAAGGCCCUGCUUUUGUGGGGUGCUCGAGUGGCGAACGGGUGAGUAACACGUGAGUAACCUGCCCUUGACUUUGGGAUAACUUCAGGAAACUGGGGCUAAUACCGGAUAGGAGCUCCUGCUGCAUGGUGGGGGUUGGAAAGUUUCGGCGGUUGGGGAUGGACUCGCGGCUUAUCAGCUUGUUGGUGGGGUAGUGGCUUACCAAGGCUUUGACGGGUAGCCGGCCUGAGAGGGUGACCGGCCAAAUUGGGACUGAGAUACGGCCCAGACUCCUACGGGGAGGAGCAGGGGGGAAUAUUGCACAAUGGGCGGAAGCCUGAUGCAGCAACGCCGCGUGCGGGAUGACGGCCUUCGGGUUGUAAACCGCUUUCGCCUGUUGCGGAGCGUGGAUGACGGUAAUGGGUAAAGAAGCACCGGCUAACUACGUG
Molecule: ribosomal RNA, 468 nt
Filed under: uncultured bacterium
Lineage: Bacteria
Description: partial 16S ribosomal RNA
Rfam family: Bacterial small subunit ribosomal RNA
Source: RNAcentral